This 253-nucleotide ribosomal RNA is filed under the name uncultured bacterium. RNAcentral describes it as "partial 16S ribosomal RNA". It matches the Rfam family "Bacterial small subunit ribosomal RNA", at positions 524 to 776 of the family's 1533-position model. The record is from RNAcentral.
UACGGGGGGGGCAAGCGUUGUUCGGAAUUACUGGGCGUAAAGGGUUCGUAGGUGGCCAACUAAGUCAGACGUGAAAUCCCUCAGCUUAACUGGGGAACUGCGUCUGAUACUGGUUGGCUUGAGUGCAGGAGAGGAACGCGGAAUUCCAGGUGUAGCGGUGAAAUGCGUAGAUAUCUGGAGGAACACCGGUGGCGAAGGCGGCAUCCUGGACCAAUUCUGACGCUGAGGAGCGAAAGCCAGGGGAGCAAACGGG